RNAcentral lists this ribosomal RNA (499 nucleotides) under uncultured bacterium. RNAcentral's name for it is "bacterial SSU rRNA". It matches the Rfam family "Bacterial small subunit ribosomal RNA", at positions 29 to 507 of the family's 1533-position model. The record is from RNAcentral.
ACGAACGCUGGCGGCGUGCCUAAUACAUGCAAGUCGAGCGGAAUGAUGAAGAAGCUUGCUUCUUCUGAUUUUAGCGGCGGACGGGUGAGUAACACGUGGGCAACCUACCUUGUAGAUUGGGAUAACUCCGGGAAACCGGGGCUAAUACCGAAUAAUCCAUUUUGCUUCAUGGCGAGAUGUUGAGAGACGGUUUCGGCUGUCACUACAAGAUGGGCCCGCGGCGCAUUAGCUAGUUGGUAGGGUAAUGGCCUACCAAGGCGACGAUGCGUAGCCGACCUGAGAGGGUGAUCGGCCACACUGGGACUGAGACACGGCCCAGACUCCUACGGGAGGCAGCAGUAGGGAAUCUUCCACAAUGGACGAAAGUCUGAUGGAGCAACGCCGCGUGAGUGAAGAAGGUUUUCGGAUCGUAAAACUCUGUUGUAAGGGAAGAACACGUACGAGAGUAACUGCUCGUACCUUGACGGUACCUUAUUAGAAAGCCACGGCUAACUACGUG